GUCAAUCUCUGCAAUCGCCCUAGGAAUCGUGGUUUUGGUGCUGGAUGGAUGUGAGGUGGACCAUGUCAUUAAACAAAUCAUUUGUGGUUCCUUUCUUUUUAUGAUUUUUCUCAUGAAAGUCUUGGAAUUUAACUCAAAGGAAAGGAAAUAUAAAGUACGGUUUGGAGUAAUUGGUGGUUUUGCUCGAAUUGCUUUCCCAAUAAGCCUGUUCAUAUGGAGUAUUUCAACAUUUACAAUGGUGUCCAUCCUAGACAAUCCGAAACAGAAGUGUAAUAUAAACAACAGCCUGUAUUGGGCAUGUUUUGCUAUAGCAAUUUUAAUAAUUGUUUGUACA
Molecule: long non-coding RNA, 334 nt
Organism: Saccostrea cuccullata (small rock oyster)
Lineage: Eukaryota; Metazoa; Mollusca; Bivalvia; Ostreida; Ostreidae
Exons: 3
Source: RefSeq, a predicted model, not a curated record